Syngnathoides biaculeatus (alligator pipefish) is the source of this 2648-nucleotide long non-coding RNA. RefSeq lists it as uncharacterized. NCBI's taxonomy places the organism in Eukaryota, Metazoa, Chordata, Actinopteri, Syngnathiformes, Syngnathidae. The record is from RefSeq and is a predicted model, not a curated record. The transcript has 6 exons.
UGAUCUUCAUGUCCCGUUCGUGUGCUCCGGUAUCCCUGAUUGAACCUGUGUGUACCGACCUUCGUCCGUUCUACGACCAACCCCUCAGGCAACUCGGGAUGACUUCGAUCCAGAAGAAAUUCAACAGCAUAAGAAUCCCAGACAUGUCUGGAUCACUGGAUCAGUGUCCGUCAUUGGCAAGGUCAAGUACAGCUUGGCAAAUAUCCAGUGUCUGUGGGGUUACCUUAUUCUGCUGUGGAUCUGGUGCCUGAGACCAGUGUCAGGCUAUUAGUAACGACUACAUCAGUAUCAAGAAAAAUUGGAGGGCUAAAUUCAGCAGAUUGUGAGUGAGACAUGCACACAAAAUACCUUCUUCCUAACUUAGUCCAUAUUUACAACAAUUUAGAUUUUUAUUGUUCCCAUGUAAGUUUGUUGUUGCGAACGUGGCCUUUCACUGACUGUGACAAGAAAGCCAAUUGUGAUUCUGAUGUCUCUUAACAGGAGGGACGGUGGUUUUUUUUAUUUUAUUACGGUGCUUUUAUUUAAGCUGGCUAUACAAUCUUUUCAUAAACGUCAUCAGUAAGGUAAAGUGCUGCAGAAAAAGGUGAGCACUUAUUAUGCACUCUUGACUGUUUCCCUUGCAUGCUGGUUUUAUCAUGUAUCAAAUUCUACCAGAAGGAAUCUUAGUAGUUAGUGUGCUUACCUAACUAGUAAAAAAAAAAAAAGUAUAGUUCUGUAUGCUGAUAAAGUGCACAAAGUACCAGUCUAACAAAAGUUUAUAGUGUUGCGAAAUGACGGACAAUUUCUGGUAAAUUUCCCUGGAAGAAUGCCAGGCAUGUUGAGAUGAGAUUUGAAAAACUGUAAAAUGUGUGAAUUGGAACUGUAAACGAGAUGUAUCAUUCAGAAACACAGCAUUGGUUUUGUUAGAAAUUUAUAAUAGACAUGCACAGAACAUCUGCUUCCUCAAUCUUUCAUCCCCUUUUGUGUAGUCGAUUUAUGAAUGAAACAGAGUUGACUGGAUGUACUCUGGGUUGAGGUGCUGUAGUAAUCUUAGAACGUUGUGUGUGUGCGUGUGUGUGUGUGUGUGCGUGUGUGUGUGUGUGUGUGCGCGUGUGCGUGUGCAUAGGAUAGGAUUUGGUUCGAUUACCUGUUACAGUCUAAUCUGUUAAACUCAUUCAUGUCAAUGUCCACAGUUAAUUUCCAUUAAACAAGGAGCCAAAUGUUUCACUGUCCCAGAUUAAGAAAAAAAUGAUGAACUUGUUUUAUUUCCAGUAUAAAUCUACUGAGGUUCACCACAAUAGAAUGAACUCAAAUGUCAGAUUUUAAAUUGAAUCCAUUAUUACAGUACUGCAUACCGAACAGCAUUGCACCAUAAUUUUUACCGCACUAUAUUACUACAAAUGUACACUUGAAAUUCAUAUUUAAUAUAAUGAGUUCAGGUACAGAAAUUUGGGAUUACUUUAUGUAGCAAGAGAGCAGGUGUCAAUUCUGAGGUUGAACCUUGUUUAGGUGUCAGUGAGGAGAGGGAUUAAAUGACUUGUAAUCACAAAUAUUGCCUUCAGAAAUUGUCACUUUUUUUUUUUUAGCAUAACACGUGCUAAAUUUCAAGAACUUUAUGAAACUAGUAAGCACAGUGUACAAAAGGGUGUCUUACUAAACCUUAAAAAACAAGAUUGACUAUACUGCCCACAUCUAUUUUAUAUGGGCAGCACUCAGAAGGCAUCCUUUCAACAACCUCAAAAUUGAUUGACACCGCUAACUCUGCAGCUCCGCCGGAGCCCUGAGCUUGUCCAGUCCUGAUGAUAUGAGCUCUCAACUCUCCAAUCAAGCUCAACACCUGAACAUUUGAAGUUUUCAUCCCCCAGAUGACGGGACCGAAAUCUCAUCAUACUACUAAUAUUGCUGUGUGUGGAAAAAAAAAAUCACAUGUAUUUACUGUGCCCUUUGUAGAUGACGAGUGUCACUGCCCCAUUUGUUUGUCAAUGGUAUGAGGCGAGCUGGAGCGGUCACUCUGAAUAAAAUGGAUCUGACCCUGGAGACAAGUUAUGUGGGAUACUUUCAGGUAAGAGUUGGAUUCAGAGACAAAUUACAGCUUUUAUAGUUCAUAGCGAUGAAAGGAACUGACCUGCACUACAUUUACAGGUCAGAUAUCUUGACAUCCUGAACAAAUUCCUGAAAGUUGUUGUUAUACCCAUAUUUGAAUGGUAAUUUUUUUUAACACUUUGGCCUGUGUUCCACCAUGUUGCCUUUUUCUACAUUUGUGUUUCUGACAUUUUUGACAAAAUAGGUCUUCAUAUUAUUAUGUAAUGAAAUUACAUACAGGUCAACUGCCAAAUCUUUAACAUGUUUAGAUCGUGUUCUGUAUUUGGAUCUAUAUUGUCUUGUCAGCUAAUCUAAAUGUAUGGAUUCCUCCAUCGUUCAACUUGGGAAAGGAUAUCCUCUCCCUUCCCUUGGAAAGAUGAACCCCGUCAACACUGACCUUCGGAUCCUUAAGGACUAUGUGCUGAUUGGGACAGAUGUUGAGUUUACAGCGUGAUGGAAGUAAAAUAACUGAGCGACAACACAUCUCCAGCCUUAAUUUCAAACAUAGUAUUGCUCAAAAUGAAGUUUUUGUCAAAUCAAUUACUGCAUGUUUCCCUUUCCUUGCAAAUAAAAAUGAGGAAUGUCAU